RNAcentral lists this ribosomal RNA (253 nucleotides) under uncultured bacterium. Its description in RNAcentral is "partial 16S ribosomal RNA". It matches the Rfam family "Bacterial small subunit ribosomal RNA", at positions 524 to 776 of the family's 1533-position model. The record is from RNAcentral.
UACGGAGGGUGCGAGCGUUGUCCGGAAUCACUGGGCGUAAAGGGCGCGUAGGCGGCGCGGGGAGUCAACGGUGAAAGCUCGGCGCUCAACGCCGAGUCGGCCGUCGAUACUCCCGUGCUUGAGCACUGUAGAGGCAGGUGGAACUCCGGGUGUAGCGGUGGAAUGCGUAGAGAUCCGGAAGAACACCGGUGGCGAAGGCGGCCUGCUGGGCAGUAGCUGACGCUGAGGCGCGACAGCGUGGGGAGCAAACAGG